UACGACUACAUAUCAGGCAUAUCAAUAAGCGGAGGAAAAGAAACUAACAAGGAUUCCCCUAGUAACGGCGAGUGAAGCGGGAAGAGCUCAAAUUUGAAAUCUUAAAGGGUUUCCCUUUACGAAUUGUAGUUUAAAGAAGUGUUUUCUGUUGGAGUUUCGGUAAAAGUUCUUUGGAAUAGGACAUCAUAGAGGGUGAGAAUCCCGUAUUUGACCGUUACUUUCCAGCUGUGUGAUACACUUUCAAAGAGUCGGAUUGUUUGGGAAUGCAGUCCAAGAUGGGUGGUAAAUUUCAUCUAAAGCUAAAUAUUGGCGAGAGACCGAUAGCGAACAAGUACCGUGAGGGAAAGAUGAAAAGAACUUUGAAAAGAGAGUUAAACAGUACGUGAAAUUGUCAAAAGGGAAGCGUUUGACACCAGUGUUGUUUAGUUGAAAAUCAAUUCAAUAGUUUUUGAUUCUAAGUAGUAUUGACUUCAUCAGCUUGCUGCUUUCUUCUCAGAAAUUAUUGAAUGCACUUUUCAGUUAACAAGUCAACAUCGAUUUCUUUCGUUGUAAAAGGGUAAGAGGAAGGUGGCUUGCGCUUCGGCUCAAGUGUUUAUAGCCUUUUAUCUCUGCAAUCGGAGAGAUUGAGGUCUGCAGCGUAGAUCCUUCGGGGUUAGAUACAUUGGUGCUAAGCUAUAGCCUUGUAUAGACAACUUGUUGACUAUGCUCAGUCAUGUAGCUUACUCGCUGAUGCUAUUUUACCUACGCUUAGGAUGUUGAUCUACAGAGCGAGAGU
Molecule: ribosomal RNA, 775 nt
Filed under: uncultured Neocallimastigales
Lineage: Eukaryota; Fungi; Neocallimastigomycota; Neocallimastigomycetes; Neocallimastigales
Description: partial large subunit ribosomal RNA
Rfam family: Eukaryotic large subunit ribosomal RNA
Source: RNAcentral